Long non-coding RNA from Cydia amplana, 176 nucleotides. RefSeq lists it as uncharacterized. The record is from RefSeq and is a predicted model, not a curated record. The transcript is spliced from 2 exons. NCBI's taxonomy places the organism in Eukaryota, Metazoa, Arthropoda, Insecta, Lepidoptera, Tortricidae.
UUGCGGGCAUUUUUCUCUGUCACUCUAAUUACGCCUAACAAGGAAGGGUACCCAACUGUCCGACUCCGAUUUGAUUUAUUUUGAUAUAUGUUAUAGAGAAGUCUAAAAUAACAGACACGUAUUUUUUUUAGCUGCCCAAACUCAACCUGUUAGGAGAAAAUGGCCUUCAAAGUACU